Molecule: ribosomal RNA, 462 nt
Filed under: uncultured bacterium
Lineage: Bacteria
Description: partial 16S ribosomal RNA
Rfam family: Bacterial small subunit ribosomal RNA
Source: RNAcentral
AAUGAACGUUGGCGGCAUGGAUUAGGCAUGCAAGUCGGGGGAAUCCCAGCAAUGGGGGAACCGGCGUAAGGGGCAGUAAGGCAUGGGUACCUACCUUGGGGUUCGGGAUAGCCAUCAGAGAUGGUGGGUAAUACCGGAUGACGUCGUGAGACCAAAGAUUCAUCGCCCUUAGAGGGGCCCACGUGAUAUUAGCUAGUUGGUGGGGUAACGGCCCACCAAGGCGAAGAUGUCUAGCGGGUGUGAGAGCACGACCCGCGCCACUCGCACUGAGACACUGGCGAGACACCUACGGGUGGCUGCAGUCGAGGAUCUUCGGCAAUGAGCGCAAGCUUGACCGAGCGAUGCCGCGUGAGCGAUGAAGGCCUUCGGGUUGUAAAGCUCUUUAGUGGGGGAGAAAGGCCGCAAGGUGUGAUCUAUCCCAAAAAUAAGCACGGGCUAAGUUCGUGCCAGCAGCCGCCGUAA